AUUUAUAUAGUUUAAUUAUAAAACUAUACAUUUUCAUUGUAUAAAUAAUAUAUAAUAUUUAUAAAUA
RNAcentral lists this transfer RNA (67 nucleotides) under Ducetia japonica. RNAcentral describes it as "tRNA-Glu". Lineage: Eukaryota; Metazoa; Arthropoda; Insecta; Orthoptera; Tettigoniidae. The record is from RNAcentral.